ACACGGUUAUUCAUGUAACCACCUAUCAGAUGAGAGGUUAGCUCUGUUUGCUCCGAUUCCAUCUGUCUGAGCUGGGGGUGGGGGGGGGCUCAUACACACACAUGCGCACACACACACCAACUGUAGACUGCCUCGUGCAAUUACAAAGUCAUGUGCAAGUGGAAGCUCACUUGCAUUUCAUUCCAAAGUGUGUCAUAAUACAUCCUAUUCAGAACAGAACCUUGGAUUAAGAAUAACAUCAUGGCAUUUAGUAAUUGACAAGGACGUGAUAGUGGUCACAUGCUCGUGUUGACAUUUUUCAGAGUACUACUAUUACCAUAAUUCCACCCUAUCAGUGGACAGCAGCAACUGUACAAUAGGCACCAAACAUGGCAAUAGGCACCAAACAUGGGCAAUUGGGCAUUGAAAGCAUUGAGCCCCCGUGGUUUAAACAACAGCAGGCACGGUUUGAAGCCCAACAUCCUUCCUCAUGUUUUAACUCUGUCCUGUGUGAUGUUUUUUUCAGGCUAUUACCAGAUUCUGUCUGCGUCCUAAAAUGGCUCCCUACUGACCUGGGCCCGUAUGGCUUUGGUCAAAAGUAGUGCACUAUACAGUAUAGCGAAUAAGGUGCCAUUGGGAAUGAACAAAAUGUCUCUCUCUUUGUGGGCAUAUGUCUGAUUUACCACAAUCGUCAUCGGCUCACAUAUUAGCCACAACGAGAACCAAACGAGCUUUACACCUUCUUAAACGAGACACAUGAGACUUGUUUUAUAUAUUUAUCUUUAGCGGCACUUCACAAACGGAAUAAUUAUUACUGUUUCUUCUCUCUUGUAUCUUGCACUUAACACAUGUAGCAAUACCUAUAGGACGGGGAAAACAGACGUGUGAUUCACCAGUAUUUGUGAAGUAUUUCAUUUUAUUACUGGUUUAUUGUUCCACUUUGUACAAAAUAUAUGCUGUACAGAUAUAACAAAUUAAAACGACAUCAAAAGUCUUUUAGAUAAACUUUAUUUAUUUUUACUGUUUUUGUAAUUUAGACACUAUACUGUAGCUCCUUUUUGGCCAGAAUUACUGAAAGUGCCUCUUGGUAUAAUGUAUUACAAAGUAAAUAUACAGUAUAUUGAGAUUAUUAGAAACUGUCACUAGCUGAACAAUGUGGAUGUUGUAAUGUGAAUACUGAAUAACAUGAGUUAAAUGCUGUGGUAAUUGUAUGUGUGGUCUCUUUGCCUCGACUUACAUUUAUUUUCUUCAUCAUCAUCUAUUUCAUAUAACUAUGUCAACAUGAAGUAUGUAAAUGCCUUUCAACUUCUCAGGUACGUCCUCAAGGUUACUGAUACAUUCAAUAUUUGAUUUGAUUUAUGCCUUCCCGGUAAGCCAACAGUCAUAGUUGAUUAGGGGUGGCAGGUGGCCUAGUUGUUAGAGUGUUGGGCCAGUAACUGAAAGAUUGCUGGAUCGAAUCCCCGAGCUGAGAAGUUUUUAAAAAUCGUUCCGCCUCUGAACAAGGCAGUUAACCCACUGUUCCCCGGUAGGCCAUCAUUGUAAAUAAGAAUUUGUUCUUAACUGACUUGCCUAGUUAAAUUAAUUAAUUUUUGGCAACAUCAUAGCAUACUAGUGAUAGUUUUGGCUUUUGAGCUUUAACUAUUAUGAAUCAUUAGUUCUAAAAGAGACAUGAGGGGUGCCAUAAUGAAGUUUGGGAGGGGCUGAGUGCAGGGAAAACGGUCACACGUGGCAGUAUUGAUAAAGGGAGGAACCGUUUAAGGCCCAUAUCUCUUAGCUCCCUGCCUAGCAAUAAGGAUGCAAUGUGUAGCGAUGAGGAGGAGACUCCGCCCAAGGUGGGGUAUGUAUACACUACCACGGGUGAGGAGGAGACUCCGCCCAAGGUGGGGUAUGUAUACACUACCACGGGUGAAACCAUGUCUUUGUCUAAUGCAGCUGUAUUGGCCCUCUGGGCAGAAUAAACUUGGUUUAAAGCUUG
Molecule: non-coding RNA, 1954 nt
Organism: Oncorhynchus mykiss (rainbow trout)
Lineage: Eukaryota; Metazoa; Chordata; Actinopteri; Salmoniformes; Salmonidae
Source: RefSeq, a predicted model, not a curated record